This 345-nucleotide ribosomal RNA is filed under the name Dictyosporella aquatica. RNAcentral's name for it is "SSU rRNA". It matches the Rfam family "Eukaryotic small subunit ribosomal RNA", at positions 594 to 945 of the family's 1831-position model. Lineage: Eukaryota; Fungi; Ascomycota; Sordariomycetes; Junewangiaceae. The record is from RNAcentral.
AUAGCGUAUAUUAAAGUUGUUGCGGUUAAAAAGCUCGUAGUUGAACCUUGGGCCCGACCGGCCGGUCCGCCUCACCGCGUGCACUGGUUCGGUUGGGCCUUUCCCUCUGGGGAACCGCAUGUCCUUCACUGGGCGUGUCGGGGAACCAGGACUUUUACUUUGAGGAAAACAGAGUGUUCAAAGCAGGCCUAUGCUCGGAUACGUUAGCAUGGAAUAAUAGAAUAGGACGAAGGUUCUAUUUUGUUGGUUUCUAGGACCGUCGUAAUGAUUAAUAGGGACAGUCGGGGGCAUCAGUAUUCAAUUGUCAGAGGUGAAAUUCUUGGAUUUAUUGAAGACUAACUACUG